AGAGUUUGAUCCUGGCUCAGAUUGAACGCUGGCGGCAGGCCUAACACAUGCAAGUCGAGCGGAUGAGAAGAGCUUGCUCUUCGAGUUAGCGGCGGACGGGUGAGUAAUGCCUAGGAAUCUGCCUGGUAGUGGGGGACAACGUUUCGAAAGGAGCGCUAAUACCGCAUACGUCCUACGGGAGAAAGCAGGGGACCUUCGGGCCUUGCGCUAUCAGAUGAGCCUAGGUCGGAUUAGCUAGUUGGUGAGGUAAUGGCUCACCAAGGCGACGAUCCGUAACUG
Molecule: ribosomal RNA, 279 nt
Filed under: uncultured Pseudomonas sp.
Lineage: Bacteria; Pseudomonadati; Pseudomonadota; Gammaproteobacteria; Pseudomonadales; Pseudomonadaceae
Description: partial 16S ribosomal RNA
Rfam family: Bacterial small subunit ribosomal RNA
Source: RNAcentral